GUAGGUGGCAAGCGUUGUCCGGAAUUAUUGGGCGUAAAGCGCGCGCAGGCGGUCCUUUAAGUCUGAUGUGAAAGCCCACGGCUCAACCGUGGAGGGUCAUUGGAAACUGGGGGACUUGAGUACAGAAGAGGAAAGCGGAAUUCCAAGUGUAGCGGUGAAAUGCGUAGAGAUUUGGAGGAACACCAGUGGCGAAGGCGGCUUUCUGGUCUGUAACUGACGCUGAGGCGCGAAAGCGUGGGGAGCAAACAGGGAUUAGAUACCCUGGUAGUCCACGCCGUAAACGAUGAGUGCUAAGUGUUAGGGGGUUUCCCGCCCCUUAGUGCUGCAGCUAACGCAUAAGCACUCCGCCUGGGGAGUACGGCCGCAAGGCUG
Molecule: ribosomal RNA, 372 nt
Filed under: uncultured organism
Description: partial 16S ribosomal RNA
Rfam family: Bacterial small subunit ribosomal RNA
Source: RNAcentral